RNAcentral lists this small RNA (66 nucleotides) under Salix viminalis (osier). Lineage: Eukaryota; Viridiplantae; Streptophyta; Magnoliopsida; Malpighiales; Salicaceae. The record is from RNAcentral.
GACCCUCAUGAUGAUUAAUUGUUUAUUACCUUUGUUAUGGUGCUAUAAGAUUGCGACAUCGGGGCU